RNAcentral lists this ribosomal RNA (382 nucleotides) under uncultured eukaryote. Its description in RNAcentral is "partial 18S ribosomal RNA". It matches the Rfam family "Eukaryotic small subunit ribosomal RNA", at positions 592 to 976 of the family's 1831-position model. The record is from RNAcentral.
UGUAAGCGUAUACCAAAGUUGUUGCAGUUAAAACGCUCGUAGUCGGAAUUUGGCAGUUCCGGAAGUGUGCACGUCGUGUGCGCACUUUGCGGGGAUUGCUUUUGUGGUCUUGCGUAGGAUGAGGCACUUUUAUUAGUGAACGUCCUCACGCAACCACUUUUUACUGUGAGAAAAUCAGAGUGCUCAAAGCAGGCAUUUGCCGUGAAUGUAUUAGCAUGGAAUAAUAGAAUAGGACUUGGUUCUAUUUUGUUGGUUUGUUGGGACUGAGUAAUGAUUAAGAGGGACAGUUGGGGGCAUUUGUAUUUCGGUGCUAGAGGUGAAAUUCUUAGAUUACCGAAAGACAAACUGCUGCGAAAGCGUCUGCCAAGGAUGUUUUCAUUGA